Molecule: ribosomal RNA, 585 nt
Filed under: uncultured bacterium
Lineage: Bacteria
Description: partial 16S ribosomal RNA
Rfam family: Bacterial small subunit ribosomal RNA
Source: RNAcentral
UGGGGAAUUUUGGACAAUGGGCGAAAGCCUGAUCCAGCAAUGCCGCGUGUGUGAAGAAGGCCUUCGGGUUGUAAAGCACUUUUGUCCGGAAAGAAAUCCUUGGCUCUAAUACAGUCGGGGGAUGACGGUACCGGAAGAAUAAGCACCGGCUAACUACGUGCCAGCAGCCGCGGUAAUACGUAGGGUGCAAGCGUUAAUCGGAAUUACUGGGCGUAAAGCGUGCGCAGGCGGUUUGCUAAGACCGAUGUGAAAUCCCCGGGCUCAACCUGGGAACUGCAUUGGUGACUGGCAGGCUAGAGUAUGGCAGAGGGGGGUAGAAUUCCACGUGUAGCAGUGAAAUGCGUAGAGAUGUGGAGGAGUACCGAUGGCGAAGGCAGCCCCCUGGGCAAUACUGACGCUCAUGCACGAAAGCGUGGGGAGCAAAACAGGAUUAGAUACCCUGGUAGUCCACGCCCUAAAACGAUGUCAACUAGUUGUGGGGAUUCAUUUCCUUAGUAACGUAGCUAACGCGUGAAGUUGACCGCCUGGGGAGUACGGUCGCAAGAUUAAAACUCAAAGGAAUUGACGGGGUCAUAGCUGUUUCCU